This 58-nucleotide transfer RNA is filed under the name Panonychus ulmi (European red spider mite). RNAcentral's name for it is "tRNA-Thr". Lineage: Eukaryota; Metazoa; Arthropoda; Arachnida; Trombidiformes; Tetranychidae. The record is from RNAcentral.
UUAAUAUUAAUAUAAUUUUAAAAUUUUCAAAUUUUGUAAAUUUGAAUGUGAAAUUUAA